GAUGAAGAACGCAGCGAAAUGCGAUAAGUAAUGUGAAUUGCAGAAUUCAGUGAAUCAUCGAAUCUUUGAACGCACAUUGCGCCCCUUGGUAUUCCGAGGGGCAUGCCUGUUCGAGCGUCAUUAUAACCCUCAAGCUCAGCUUGGUGUUGGGGCCUGCUGCACUGGCAGCACUUAAAAUCAGUGGCGGCGCCAUCUGGCUCUAAGCGUAGUAAUUCUUCUCGCUAUGGAGUCCUGGUGGAUGCUUGCCAUCAACCCCCAAUUUUUCUAUGGUUGACCUCGGAUCAGGUAGGGAUACCCGCUGAACUUAAGCAUAUCAAUAAGCGGAGGA
RNAcentral lists this unclassified non-coding RNA (328 nucleotides) under soil metagenome. RNAcentral describes it as "partial contains 5.8S ribosomal RNA, internal transcribed spacer 2, and large subunit ribosomal RNA". The stretch from base 1 to 120 matches the Rfam family "5.8S ribosomal RNA", at positions 35 to 154 of the family's 154-position model. The record is from RNAcentral.